UGGGAUGAGCAGGAAAAUUAGGAUUCUUAUCUAAAAGGUAACAAUGGUAUUCAUCUAGGUAAGUAGGAGCCUUAGACUGACGUUUGGGUCUAGGAUUAGAAUCUAUCCUUCCUGAUGGUACUGAUUCAGUAUUGGAACAAGAAAGAUGAGAAGAUGAUGAAUGAACAGGUGAGGAAUGUGUUAAAGAAUCACUCUGUUCAGAAGGAGAAUAAACAGGAGGAAUAGGUUCAUGUAGAUGAAAUGGAAAGGAAGAUCUAUCAGGAAAAAUAGGAUCAGGCGCAAUGUCAAAAGAAGCUGAAAAUAGAGAAUCUGGAACUGGCAAG
RNAcentral lists this long non-coding RNA (323 nucleotides) under Brassica napus (rape). RNAcentral's name for it is "long non-coding RNA (BNAP_LNC017725)". Lineage: Eukaryota; Viridiplantae; Streptophyta; Magnoliopsida; Brassicales; Brassicaceae. The record is from RNAcentral.